Molecule: ribosomal RNA, 463 nt
Filed under: uncultured bacterium
Lineage: Bacteria
Description: bacterial SSU rRNA
Rfam family: Bacterial small subunit ribosomal RNA
Source: RNAcentral
ACCCGCACAAGCGGUGGAUGAUGUGGUUUAAUUCGAUGCAACGCGAAAACCUUACCCACCUUUGACAUGUACGGAAGUUGCCAGAGAUGGCUUCGUGCUCGAAAGAGAGCCGUAACACAGGUGCUGCAUGGCCGUCGUCAGCUCGUGUCGUGAGAUGUUGGGUUAAGUCCCGCAACCGAGCGCAACCCUUACCCUUAGUGUUUCCCGAAAGGAUUUACCCUCUAAGGGGACUGCCCCGGACAACGGGGAGGAAGGUGGGGAUGACGUCAAGUCCGCAUGCUCCUUACGUCUAGGGCUACACACGUCCUACAAUGGGGUCGACAGUGGGAUGCAAAGCCGCGAGGUGGAGCCAAUCCCCAAACGGCCUCUCAGUUCGGAUAGUAGUCUGCAACUCGACUACUUGAAGUCGGAAUCGCUAGUAAUGGCGGAUCAGCAUGCCGCCGUGAAUACGUUCCCGGGUCUU